Long non-coding RNA from Apis florea (little honeybee), 181 nucleotides. Lineage: Eukaryota; Metazoa; Arthropoda; Insecta; Hymenoptera; Apidae. The record is from RefSeq and is a predicted model, not a curated record.
GAAGAAGAAGAAAAAGAAAACGUAUAAACGUACGAGCGAACGUUGGAGGAGCACCUGUGCGAAUAAACAAUAAAAAGAUAGGAUCUGUUUAAAGGUAGCCUCGAGAACGGUUGUUAAUAAGAAAGAAAACGAAAGGGGAGGGGGAAAACGGGGUGAUGCGAGGCGAAGAGAGAGAGAGGUG